RNAcentral lists this unclassified non-coding RNA (322 nucleotides) under Clostridioides difficile. RNAcentral's name for it is "16S-23S ribosomal RNA intergenic spacer". Lineage: Bacteria; Bacillati; Bacillota; Clostridia; Peptostreptococcales; Peptostreptococcaceae. The record is from RNAcentral.
AAGGAGAAUUGCCUACUGUUUAAUUUUGAGGGUUCGUUUUUACGAAUACUCAAAAGUAGCACUUUAAGCAACAGAAUAAACUGAACGCAUGUGAAGUUCGUUUGUUGGCGCUGUGUGUUAGCACUUUAAGCAACGGGAUUUAUCCGUUGGCGCUGUGCUUUAGCACUUUAAGCAACGGAAUUUAUUCGUUGGCGCUGUGCAUUAGCACUUUGAAAACUGCAUAUAUAUAUUUAGUGAUAUGACAUCUAAUUUGUAAUAUAAAGCUGAUAACUUUUUAAAAUUAUCGAAGUUGAUAGCUUCUAAUCUAUCAAACCUUUUUAAC